Molecule: long non-coding RNA, 5815 nt
Organism: Gadus macrocephalus (Pacific cod)
Lineage: Eukaryota; Metazoa; Chordata; Actinopteri; Gadiformes; Gadidae
Exons: 2
Source: RefSeq, a predicted model, not a curated record
CUAUAUGAAUUAACAUUCUUGUGGUUGGCCCACUUGGUUUGAUGGCUCAAACGUUUAAAGUGUCUAUUUAAGGAGACUCAUCUGAUCAUUUCCUGUUUCCUGUGUGAAGGCAAGUACUGGCGCUCUCUGCAGCGGUCUGCGUCGAAGCUGGGCUACUCCCUGAGCGAGGUGCUCCGCUCUGAGAGCGAAGAGACCGAGACGGUCACCGCCAUGGCGUCACUGUCUGUCGCCACAAGCACAUCAGCAAAAGGACUGAGGAGGAGCCGAUGGAGGAGGAAGUGGACCCGGCGUUCAACCACUCAUAAGCCAAGCCUGCCUCUCGGACAUUGUUCUCGUCCAAUCUAAACCACUGUUUCAGUUUAAACCCUGCCCUCCCCCCCCCCACCACCCCCACCCCCCUGCCAGGUGUCUCACCUAUUGCUAUCUCAAUGUGGCGGGGGUCCUAGCGCGGAAUGGGGGGGGCCGGGUCUCCGUUUCAUAGAAGAAACGGGGGCUCUGGGGGGCUGAAACAGAACACUGGUGUUCGGUUGUGCACAGGGGGUUGGAUGCUCGGCCCACGUUGUGUUGCGUUGUCAUCUUUAACGGAGGGCCCGAGUCUCUGAGCCGCUGCUACCAGGCCGCCUCGAGACGAGGAACUCAAGGUUGGAAAACCGAGCCAUCGUGCGCUGUCGUGCCUCGAAUGCCAGUACUUUAGGACUUUAAACCGACGCCGUCUGAAUGAGGCACGGAUCACCAGACGGUCAUCUUUGCUCUGGGUUGAGGUUCUCGGUCUCCCUCGCCUCUAUCGCCUCGCCUCUUCUCCUUUUUUUUUUAUUUCUGAGUCUGAGAGCGUGGAUGUAUCCUUGAUCCGGGGACCGUAGCUUGAUGCCGUGACCCGCGGAGCACAGUUGGAGAUGGAGGAAAUGCGAGUGUGGAAUACAUUUCUGCCCGAAGUCCUCUGGAUGAAGUGGAAUGGAGGUGGUCGAUUCGAACGGUGAUUCUUGGCUCUGUUCCGACUGAUGGUAAAUGACUGCAAAAUUGUGCCUUUUUUUCGAACCUGGUGGAUAUUUCACAAUGAACUGAACUUCAAGACAUUUUGCCUUAAAGACAGGUUUGGGAACAAGGCCUCUUCUCAUCCUUAUCCUUUUACUAUUUUUUACUCGGGCGGCAAAACUUUCCAAGCCUGCAUGCUGUUGGCAUAGAGACUGGACGACUGGCAUGUUUACCCAUAAUGCUUUUCACACAGCCUGUCCACCCUGUAAUUAAACCCUUAUUUUUUCAUCGUACCACUUUUACCUGCUUUUUGGAAGGUAGUUGUUGACCGAUUGAGUAAAAGCGUGGCUUGGCUGUGCUGGGAGGUUUAUUUACUAUUCUCCAGACAAGCCUGAUUUUCCAGCUAGGAUUUCUGAAUGGAUGAAAUAACAAGCAUGCACUGCAUUCCAAUAACGUCACAAGACGAAGCAUGAUGUACUAUCACCCCUUUAUUAAUCACAGGAGGUCACAUUGUCAACCAGAAUUCGUGCAUUAAGCGUGUCCACCGACAAAUAAACAUCAGCACAUCACUGAUAGAGGAGCGAGCUCCUCCCCACAAAAUAUUUCCCACGUUGAGGACAGUGCAGUGUUUUCAGACGCCAGACCGGAGACGGUGGGUUUUAACAGUGUCUGAGUCGCUCCGCGCUUCAGUACGCGACCCCCUGUGACACUAGUGAAACGCAUCUGCUCUCCCCCUGUCCUGAGCUACCGACCAGGUGGGAGGGAGUGAGAACAUGUGCGCUCAUAUACUUGUGGGUGAGUGCGUGUGUGUGUGUGGGGGACGGGUGUGUGACACGACCGGGAGCCAGACCUACAAAGUCAAAUCACACACUUAUUAUUCUGACGGCACAGUAAGGUCGGCGGACACACGUCUGUGUGGAGAGUUUGUCUGGUUCAUAACUUUCAUCUAUCUCUGGCCACCAGAAAUGAUCUAAGAGAUGGUGCGUGAUGUACAUCAUCUCGGCCAGCGCUGCCGUAUGUAGCGCCAAGGACUGCCCGGCAGUACGACCCCCACCCAUCUGGGAGAGGAGGGGCAGUGGGGAGCUUCGUCAGCCACAGCCUGCAGGCGUUUGACAGUUUGACAGUUUUGAACAUUGACAACGAUAGAAGCAACGCAUCUUGACGUAGCUUGAUUGAGAACACCCAGGACCACCAGACCAACUCCCCGUCACCACCAGACCAACUCCCCGUCACCCAGCUCACAUUGUCUUUCCCUCUGGGCAGCUACCUUCUUCCACGGUCGUUUUGUUUCAAACUCUACUUUUGCAUUGAAGCCUUGUUUCUCGACGCAGGGGCGGGGUCCUGACAGGAGGUCAGGAGGAUAUCUUUUCCAAGACUUCUCUCCCCCUCCCCCUCCCCCAACCCCCCAGCCCCCCGAAAUUUGCCAGCUGUUUCCUCGGUCGUUUCGUUGCUGUAUCUGUUUAGUUUUUUUUAAGUGCAGUCAAGUGACUAUUAUUGAUAUGUUUUGUGUUGUACCUUUUAAUCAUUUUUUUAUUUUGUAUACAGCACUUUUCGCCCCCACCUGUCUUUUCCUCCUUUCCUCUCUGUUACGUUGUUUGUUGUACAGUUUACAUGUUUCAAAACCGAAAAAGGGUUUGGAUUCUGGUGGGCGAGGACAUUUUCCUUGCUGUUUUUUGAGCUCCAGGGUUUAUGGGGAAGCUUUGGGAAUGCAAAUACUACUUUGUACAAUGAUUAUAAUAAUUGUGUAUUUACUAUACUGUCUGUUCAUAGUAGAUUUAUAUAUGAAAAAUAUGCAUAUUAUAUUAUAUAUAUAUAAAAAUGAAAUAUUAUGAACUUGUUUUUGAAAUUAGUAUUGCAAGGUUUAUAUUUUCAUUGGGCAAAUUUGUUGCCCUCUCGAGGGUAUUAAUGAAAGCACCACUUACUGUCACUUGCUACGGUUGGCUCACCGCUGAGCAAUAUAGCAUCCCAUUGGUCUUGUGUUCCCUUGCGUCAGUAACAACGACUGGCUUUGAGUUGUGUUCAUCCCAUGGUAGUUCUCAUACUGUUCCGAGUUACAUUGCCUACGACACUCACACACUACAACAUACUGUGCAAUCACUGUUACAUUACAUUGUUCUCUGGAAAAAUGGCUUUUCUUUUUCCGUUUAAUUCAUCCCUCUCCUCUUUAUUUAAGAUGUCAACUCGCAUAUCUUCACGCUGGGUUCUGUGCACCCUUUUGUUCAAAAUAUACCUUUCCUAAAUUACCAAUAUUUGAAUGUCUAUUGAUGAAUCAAUCGGUAACAUUUGCAUAUUCAUGAUUUAUUUUUGUACAAUCUUAAUAAUUCACACGCUUAUCCUAAAACCUUCUCCAAAGAGGAAGAUCAAAAGACGGAUGGACACGUGGCUAUCCGCAGCCCCCGUACCUCUGAUUGUAUCACUGUGAUCAGCCAGGAGCACCAAUGACCGCAGAACAGAGUCUGACCUUUUUAUUGGCGACCAAACGUUCGUUGGUUUAUUCUACUCAUCGGUGCUCUAAAUGUAUAGUUUAUUAUAUCACAUUCACGCCUUCGGGGGCUUGGCCCUUCAAUUAGAACUAGUUAUGGUAACUAGUAAAGAGAUAUGGUUUCUUAUCAAUAGGGUUUAGUUAAGGAAGCCAGUUAAGGUAACUAUGAACCAUUUAAGAUGACGACUAAAGGUAACUUGGAACCAGGUAUGGUAACUAAUGACUAGUUAAGAUAACCAGUUAAUAGUAACGGUACCCCGUUAAGACGACGAGCUAAGGUCAGCUAGACAAACCACCUAGCCGUCAAACAACCUGAACAGGUUCAGGUUGUUGAGACAAAAAACUAUAACUCCGUUCAGAAGAAAUGUUACCCAGAAGACGUAGCUUUCAGAACACCGUAACCGACGGUGGCAUUCCCACCACAACGUUGGCCUGAAUCACCCCUCUCGCUUGUCUCCCCCCUUUUCUCUCUCCUCUGUCUCCCCCAAACGGCUUCAGCAGAUGACAAUUUCCCCCGGACAAUAUGGCCUCAUGGCUCAUUUCUUUACUUGGCUUAACGAUACACACUUCUAAGAGGUGGAGGACAAUAUUGGUGGAAACAUUGAGUAUAUUCCCAAGCAGUAGCACUAAAUCAAUCUUUUGAAACAUUAUGUUAAUGAUAUUCUUUAUAUAAGCCUUUGGAAUGGGGACCAUUAUAAGUGCUUUCUCCUUAGUUAUAGAACAUUUCACUUUGGUUUAGACUAAUUGUCAUUUACAAUAUCAUCCUUUUUUUGUACAUUCCUCGCUGUCCACCAACUAUUCACUUGCUUUUACGCACGCACACACACGCACACACACACACACACACACACACACACACACACACACACACACUUCUUGCUUGAUAAAUAGAAGGCACAUCGGUGGACAAUGUUCCCAGGGGGAAGUCUGUUUUGGCCCCAACAAACAUCAGAGAACAUGAGCUGGUAUACAUUACAACAUUUCCCUUUAAAUAUCAGCAUUGGCCAUUGUCAUUCUGGUUGUUGAAAAGGUGUCGAACCCAGGCAUGUUUUUUGUCUGAUGGUUGAAUCAAGAUGAGGUGAUUUGUUCAGCCCUUGAUCCCAGUCCCCAAAAGGGCUUAACCGGCCCUAGGUUUCCUCGUGCCCACUGCACCGUCAGUCAAAGGACGUUGGAAGGCGUGGCUGACGGAUGGGGGAGCUUUCCAAGGUCGUCAGAGCCCGAGUAGUGUCACAGUGCUUAAAUUUGCAUACGUGAUCUGAUUGGAUGACGGAUCCGUCGCUGCCGAAAAAGUUGAAUUUUUUUUCUACUUUUUGACGGCGCCGAAGGCUCCAACGGAGCGCACAGAUCCACAAUGCAUUGCGCCUCCGUACACAUUCAAAGUCAAUGGGGAUCCGUCAACGGACGGUGCAGUGGGCACGAGAGGGUGACCGUCUCACCACACUGAUGAUCCAACAAAUGUGCCACCAAAAAACAAACAUGUUUUAGUAUGGCUUCCACAUUACCUUUGGUCUACGACUCUUCAACAAGGACAGAUUUCCUUCUCUCACCCACUUUCUGUUUCUGUCUCUCUCCCUCUUGUCCCCCCCCCCACCCCCUAAAUGUUUUGCAUGUUUUUGUAUGUCCGCAUGCGCUGUCUGUCAGUCUGUACCCCAACACACAUCCACACAUGGGAUGUAGCACUGAAGGGCACGUUGACUACCUUCUCAAGAUUGCAUCAACACUUUUGCUCUCUCUCCUUCUCUGUCUCUGGUCUCUCUCUCUCUCUGUUGGCUGGCUAGUUUUUUAAAGAGUCCCCUCCUAGAGAACCGAGGGAAGGGCAGUUUUCAGUGUUAGGUGAAUUUGCUCUCAUUUGUACAAACAAGGAAUCCAUAAAGCUGAGAUUUAAACAUACACCAUUUCAAAGCUGUUUUCUCUAGCAUUUGUAACACACAGACGAUAGAUUUUAUUGUAUUUAUCUAGGAAAGGUGUGAGUUUUGUAGUGAGGCUACAUACAUGAAGGGUCAACAGCAGAACCGGCCGAAUGUCUGAAUGCCAGGCAGUGGUGUGGGGGGUUGAUGUGUGUUUUAUACCAUGAUUGGACUUCUUCAAAGGGCUCAAACCCGAAGCCUGAUGUAUUUUUGUCCCAGGUGUCCACUUUAAGCCAGUUUUACCUAUGACCACUACGGUUCAGAAAGUUACAGUUCUAGGUUUACAUAUGUAUUAAUGCAUAUUAUUUUGUUUUCAUUUUUUUCAAUAUUGGUUAUUUUUUUUGACUUGUUGCUCUACUGUUACAAAAGUCUCUUUUUUUUCUCGGGAACUUUUUGCUCUAACAUAUUGUCUUUGACAUCUACAAUAUAAAGUAUCAUGUUUUGAAAAAAAUAA